AACGAACGCUGGCGGCAUGCCUAACACAUGCAAGUCGAACGAGACCUCCGGGUCUAGUGGCGCACGGGUGCGUAACGCGUGGGAACCUGCCCUUAGGUUCGGAAUAACUCCCCGAAAGGGGUGCUAAUACCGGAUAAUGUCUUCGGACCAAAGAUUUAUCGCCUUUGGAUGGGCCCGCGUUGGAUUAGCUAGUUGGUAGGGUAAAAGCCUACCAAGGCUACGAUCCAUAGCUGGUCUGAGAGGAUGAUCAGCCACACUUGGACUGAGACAUGGCCCGGACUCCUACGGAAGGCAGCAGUGGUGGAUAUAGGAAUACGGGCGAAGGGAUGAAGGAGCAAUGCCGGGUGAGUGAUGAAGGCCGUAGAGAAGUAAAGCUCUUUUACCCGGGAUGAUAAUGACAGUACCGGAAGAAUAAGCUCCGGCUAACUACGUG
RNAcentral lists this ribosomal RNA (433 nucleotides) under uncultured bacterium. RNAcentral describes it as "partial 16S ribosomal RNA". It matches the Rfam family "Bacterial small subunit ribosomal RNA", at positions 29 to 507 of the family's 1533-position model. The record is from RNAcentral.